Molecule: ribosomal RNA, 442 nt
Filed under: uncultured bacterium
Lineage: Bacteria
Description: partial 16S ribosomal RNA
Rfam family: Bacterial small subunit ribosomal RNA
Source: RNAcentral
CCUACGGGAGGCAGCAGUAGGGAAUCUUUCACAAUGGGCGAAAGCCUGAUGGAUCAACGCCGCGUGCAGGAUGAAGGCCUUCGGGUUGUAAACUGCUUUUAUAAGCGAGAAAUAUGAUGGUAACUUAUGAAUAAGGAUCGGCUAACUACGUGCCAGCAGCCGCGGUCAUACGUAGGAUCCGAGCAUUAUCCGGGGUGACUGGGUGUAAAGAGUUGCGUAGGUGGCAUAAUAAGUAGCUAGUGAAAUCUGGUGGCUCAACCAUUCAGACUAUUAGCUAAACUGUUAAGCUCGAGACCGUUAGGGGUAACUGGAAUUUCUAGUGUAGGAGUGAAAUCCGUAGAUAUUAGAAGGAACACCAAUAGCGUAGGCAGGUUGCUGGGACGGUUCUGACACUAAGGCACGAAAGCGUAGGGAGCAAACGGGAUUAGAUACCCGUGUAGUC